UGCGGGCGGCCUUGGUGGCCAG
Molecule: unclassified non-coding RNA, 22 nt
Filed under: Mus musculus (house mouse)
Lineage: Eukaryota; Metazoa; Chordata; Mammalia; Rodentia; Muridae
Description: oocyte_clustered_small_RNA10965
Source: RNAcentral